ACACGACUACAUUAGAUACCCGCGUAGUCCUAGGCGUAAAUGAUGCGAGUUAAGUGUGGGGGCAUCUACGAGAUGGCCCUGUGCUGUAGGGUAGCCGUUAAACUCGCUGCCUGGGAAGUACGGUCGCAAGGCUGAAACUUAAAGGAAUUGGCGGGGGAGCACCACAACAGGUGGAGCCUGCGGUUUAAUUGGAUUCAACGCCGGACAUCUCACCGGAUAAGACAGCUGAAUGAUUGUCAAUCUGAAGGUUUUACAUGACUAGCUG
Molecule: ribosomal RNA, 265 nt
Filed under: uncultured archaeon
Lineage: Archaea
Description: partial 16S ribosomal RNA
Rfam family: Archaeal small subunit ribosomal RNA
Source: RNAcentral